Triticum urartu is the source of this 2296-nucleotide RNA transcript. RefSeq lists it as uncharacterized. Lineage: Eukaryota; Viridiplantae; Streptophyta; Magnoliopsida; Poales; Poaceae. The record is from RefSeq and is a predicted model, not a curated record.
CAAGUGUGGUAGUUCCAUGCAAUUAACUCUUUCAGGGGGCGGCCAUGGGGAGGGGAGGCGAUGCUGUGCUCCGGCGCCGGAUCAAGCUGCGGGGGAGGCGGGAGCCACGCGAGGAGACGAAGGAGGAGAAAAUGAAGAGGCAUGGAGGAGAGGCGGGCGAGCGGGAAGGGCUGGGGCGUCGCCCACGACGCCGAGCUUGACGGCGGCCUUGCGAUGGUGCAGUCGGCGAGGACCUGUCGGAUCUGGCCGGAUCCGGUGGGAAAUUGCGCGCAAGCGGCGGAUCUGGAAGGAAGACGGCCGGAGCUUGGAGCACAAUGGCUGGUGGACGCGCCAUGGCCCACGCCGGCGAGAGAAGAGAGAGAUGAGUGGGAGAGAAAAGAGAGGACGGGAAGGAGAUGAGAGGCCAGAGGGAGAGAGAAGGGAGUGGUGGUCACUUCAACGGGCUGCAGCGUGGCACCGCCCCGGCCGCUGAGCCCGCCCGACCGCCCCAUCGCCUAGUCGCCACCCCCACUGACUGCCCCGUGCUCGCCCUUAGACCAAGUCGAGCCAGCGAUCGUUGCCCACAUCACCGAACCUCGCUCCCCUUCUCCACCCCAGCAAGCACACACGCUUGGAGGCGCCAAGGAGCUCGCCGGCAACACUCAGCAGACGUAGGAGAGCUGCGUGCAUGGUGCGUUUGAAUGUGCGGACGCGAGGCAGUGGAGGGCUCAGCAAGUUAGCAAAUUAUAUUGCCUUGUACUACUUUUUAACAACUUGGCUCCUACGAAGACUAAUGGAAGGAUCAUCAGACCAACGUAGUCAAAUUGGCUGCUUCAAAUUUUUGGCCUUGGAGCUGAUCAGCAGCACGCGGACAUGCAUCAGGAAGCCGACGGACAGCCAGAGCAGGAAGGCGUGGAUCUUGAGCUGCAGCGACAACAACAACUUGGGCGUUGCCUGCAAAAAAAACAACAGUUCAAGUGCUCAAUCAAGUGUAAGUUUGCAUUCAGUCAAUUAUUGCAGUUCUACAAUGACACAUUCAGAUUCUUGCAUCCAAAGUUAGAUAGGAACAGGGAAAGAAUCUCCAACGCUUAUUUACAUGGGAAAGAACACUCUUGUAACUUUGGUUCAGAUCCUCAGUCUAUCUGAAGCACCAUAAAUUGAGUUUGCAAGCAAAAGGAUCACACAAUCUGACAUUACAAGGAGCAGUCUUUUUCUUCACAUCUUUGUUUUAGCUUGCAUCCGACAGUUGUGUGAUCCAAGAUUAGGCAACCAAAACUGAACUUAUGACUACAUGAGUGCAUGAAGAACUGUUAAUAACUCCUAUUUGACUAAUCUUUGGAGAUUCUCUGGCUUUGGGGAUGGUCCUUUGGCGUUCUAUUGGGGUUCUAUUCAUGUGCACUAGGCACUUCUCAACACUUCAAUAAUUAUUCUAGAACCUCUUUAAAUUUGCAAUGCUCAUCAGAUUGUACAGGUUUUGCAGUCAACUAUUCAGAUUAUUGACUAGGGACGAUAUUUUCAGUCCUACUGAGUCUGCAAAGGAUGCGCCAAGCCAAGAUUAAUUAUGGUUUUUGUAAAUUGCAUCGGUUUACUUAUGUACCUGCUCCUUAGAUGAUUGUGAAUUUGUGAUUCAGUCGUGGAAAUUUUGGUGCUUUCUUGGAGUGUCCUGAAAAAUGGUUCAACGCGUGUUUGCCAGAAACUGUAGAUUAGCAAGACUAACGAGUGUUGAGCAUGUCAAUCUAUGUGUGGGCACGAGUGAAAAUGUAAAUCAUGUUAGAGACGAGUUUCUGGAAAAAGUCCCGGAGAUGCGCUGCUGCUGCUGCUGCUCUUGAUAGCCAAAGUGGAGGCUGCAGUUCUAAGACUUCAAGGAGGAAAGGAAUACAUGGUUGCUUCUUGGAAAGAUAAAAAUUGUUAUUGGUCACUCAAUCCUAAGCUGUUGUGGAUUAAUUUGAUUUGAAUUGGAUUGUACUCCAAGAGUCCACAAGAUGUCAUUUCCGAAUGUGGUACUAAUUUCAGAACAUAGCACCAUUUUCUAAAAAUAAGGCUGGGCAACAUGAGCCAACCACAUGGAUGUUUCAAGAGGAAUAAACUCACUGUAGCUGCCGAAUUGGUAUUAGUAAGUUGCUGUUCCAACUUCCUAGAGAACCACAGUUUUUUUUUUUACUAUUAUUAGCUGCAGCACAUGGCGACAAUGACGAGCACUUGUAUUUUUAAGUGUUGCACCUCUUUUUCGUUGACCUUUGAUUCAUGUAUAUAUGUAAAUUAUAUUGAAAUGUAUCAUAGCAAAUGUGAAUACAUAACUCUAUGGUUGAUGUCUCUA